RNAcentral lists this ribosomal RNA (486 nucleotides) under uncultured bacterium. RNAcentral's name for it is "partial 16S ribosomal RNA". It matches the Rfam family "Bacterial small subunit ribosomal RNA", at positions 28 to 507 of the family's 1533-position model. The record is from RNAcentral.
GACGAACGCUGGCGGCGUGCUUAACACAUGCAAGUCGAACGCUGAAGGCCUGGCUUUUGUUGGGUUGGAUGAGUGGCGAACGGGUGAGUAAAACGUGAGUAAACUGCCCUCUUCUUUGGGAUAACGCCCGGAAACGGGGGCUAAUACUGGAUAUUCACUGAUCUUUUCAUGGGGGGUGGGGGGAAGGUUUUUUUUGGUGGGGGAUGGGCUCGCGGCCUAUCAGCUUGUUGGUGGGGUGAUGGCCUACCAAGGCUUUGACGGGUAGCCGGCCUGAGAGGGUGACCGGUCACAUUGGGACUGAGAUACGGCCCAGACUCCUACGGGAGGCAGCAGUGGGGAAUAUUGCACAAUGGGCGAAAGCCUGAUGCAGCGACGCCGCGUGAGGGAUGGAGGCCUUCGGGUUGUAAACCUCUUUCGCUCAUGGUCAAGCCGCAACUGUGGGUUGUAGUGAGGGUAGUGGGUAAAGAAGCGCCGGCUAACUACGUG